Molecule: ribosomal RNA, 406 nt
Filed under: uncultured bacterium
Lineage: Bacteria
Description: partial 16S ribosomal RNA
Rfam family: Bacterial small subunit ribosomal RNA
Source: RNAcentral
AUUGAACGCUGGCGGCAGGCCUAACACAUGCAAGUCGAGCGAGCGGCGGACGGGUGCGUAAUGUAUGGGGAUCUGCCCGAUAGAGGGGGAUAACUACUGGACACGGUUGCUAAUAACGCAUACUAUCGGCUGGACCCAUAUGGGAUUAGCUAGUUGGUGGGGUAAAGGCUGACCUAGGCGACGAUCUCCAGCUGGUCUGAGAGGAUGAUCAGCAACACUGGAACUGAGACACGGCCCAGACUCCUACGGGAGGCAGCAGUGGGGAAUAUUGGACAAUGGGCGCAAGCCUGAUGCAGCCAUGCCGCGUGUAUGAAGAAGGCCUUCGGGUUGUAAAGUACUUUCAGCUGGGAGGCGUUACCCGCAGAAGAAGCACCGGCUAACUCCGUGCCAGCCGCCGCGGUAAUAC